GUAGAGCGACGGACUGUUAAUCCGCAGGUCCCUGGUUCGAGCCCAGGUUGGAGAGCCA
Molecule: transfer RNA, 58 nt
Filed under: Acinetobacter bouvetii DSM 14964 = CIP 107468
Lineage: Bacteria; Pseudomonadati; Pseudomonadota; Gammaproteobacteria; Moraxellales; Moraxellaceae
Description: tRNA-Ser
Rfam family: tRNA
About the family: Transfer RNA (tRNA) molecules are approximately 80 nucleotides in length.
Source: RNAcentral